GCCCGAUUGGCCCAAUGGAUAAGGCGUCCGCCUUCUAAGCGGAAGAUUGCGGGUUCGAUCCCCGCAUUGGGUA
This 73-nucleotide transfer RNA is filed under the name Rhizopus microsporus. RNAcentral describes it as "tRNA-Arg". It matches the Rfam family "tRNA". Rfam says of the family: Transfer RNA (tRNA) molecules are approximately 80 nucleotides in length. Their secondary structure includes four short double-helical elements and three loops (D, anti-codon, and T loops). Lineage: Eukaryota; Fungi; Mucoromycota; Mucoromycetes; Mucorales; Rhizopodaceae. The record is from RNAcentral. RNAcentral also lists the same sequence under 1 other name.